Molecule: ribosomal RNA, 460 nt
Filed under: uncultured bacterium
Lineage: Bacteria
Description: partial 16S ribosomal RNA
Rfam family: Bacterial small subunit ribosomal RNA
Source: RNAcentral
CCUACGGGGGGCAGCAGUGAGGAAUAUUGGUCAAUGGUCGGGAGACUGAACCAGCCAAGCCGCGUGAGGGAUGAAGGUACAGAGUAUCGUAAACCUCUUUUGUCAGGGAACAAAGGCGUGGACGUGUCCCCGGAUGAGUGUACCUGAAGAAAAAGCAUCGGCUAACUCCGUGCCAGCAGCCGCGGUAAUACGGAGGAUUCGAGCGUUAUCCGGAUUUAUUGGGUUUAAAGGGUGCGGAGGCGGUCUGUUAAGUCAGCGGUGAAAGCCCGGGGCUCAACCCCGAGCCGGCCGUUGAAACUGGCAGUCUCGAGUUGGAGAGAAGUAUGCGGAAUGCGCGGUGUAGCGGUGAAAUGCAUAGAUAUCGCGAAGAACUCCGAUUGCGAAGGCAGCAUGCCGGCCCCACACUGACGCUGAGGCACGAAAGCGUGGGUAUCGAACAGGAUUAGAUACCCGAGUAGUC